RNAcentral lists this ribosomal RNA (463 nucleotides) under uncultured bacterium. RNAcentral describes it as "bacterial SSU rRNA". It matches the Rfam family "Bacterial small subunit ribosomal RNA", at positions 1 to 507 of the family's 1533-position model. The record is from RNAcentral.
CAGUAGUCACGAGUUUGAUCAUGGCUCAGAACGAACGCUGGCGGCAUGCCUAACACAUGCAAGUCGAACGAGACCUUCGGGUCUAGUGGCGCACGGGUGCGUAACACGUGGGAAUUUGCCUCGGGGUAUGGAAUAACUCAGGGAAACUUGAGCUAAUACCAUAUAAUGUCUUCGGACCAAAGAUUUAUCGCCCUGAGAUAAGCCCGCGUAGGAUUAGCUAGUUGGUGAGGUAAAGGCUCACCAAGGCGACGAUCCUUAGCUGGUCUGAGAGGAUGAUCAGCCACACUGGGACUGAGACACGGCCCAGACUCCUACGGGAGGCAGCAGUGGGGGAAUAUUGGACAAUGGGCGAAAGCCUGAUCCAGCAAUGCCGCGUGAGUGAUGAAGGCCUUCGGGUUGUAAAGCUCUUUUACUCGGGACGAUAAUGACGGUACCGAGAGAAUAAGCCCCGGCUAACUCCGUG